This 416-nucleotide ribosomal RNA is filed under the name uncultured bacterium. RNAcentral's name for it is "bacterial SSU rRNA". It matches the Rfam family "Bacterial small subunit ribosomal RNA", at positions 9 to 429 of the family's 1533-position model. The record is from RNAcentral.
GAGUUUGAUCCUGGCUCAGAGUGAACGCUGGCGGCAGGCCUAACACAUGCAAGUCGAGCGGCAGCGCGGGUAGCAAUACCUGGCGGCGAGCGGCGGACGGGUGAGGAAUACAUCGGAAUCUGCCUUGUUGUGGGGGAUAACGUAGGGAAACUUACGCUAAUACCGCAUAAGACCGUAAGGUGAAAGCGGGGGAUCGAAAGACCUCGCGCGACAAGAUGAGCCGAUGUCGGAUUAGCUAGUUGGUGAGGUAAUGGCUCACCAAGGCGACGAUCCGUAGCUGGUCUGAGAGGAUGAUCAGCCACACUGGAACUGAGACACGGUCCAGACUCCUACAGGAGGCAGCAGUGGGGAAUAUUGGACAAUGGGCGCAAGCCUGAUCCAGCCAUGCCGCGUGGUGAAGAAGGCCUCGGUGUAAG